This 657-nucleotide unclassified non-coding RNA is filed under the name Athalia rosae (coleseed sawfly). Its description in RNAcentral is "misc RNA ENSAEAG00005004204.1". The record is from RNAcentral. Lineage: Eukaryota; Metazoa; Arthropoda; Insecta; Hymenoptera; Athaliidae.
CGAAACCGUGGCACCGUGCCGGACCCCGAGAACCUGGUCGACGUGCCGCCUUAUCUCGACGACACCUCGUUACGCGUUCAUAUCCACCAUCCCCGAAGAUUACAGAAAUUGACUAAAAGAAAUAAAUUUGAUUUUGUAACGUUAAUAUGGGCCAUAUGAGGAGGUUGUAAAAACUCUUAUCAGGUUGAAGGACAGAAUGAAAGUUUUGACAUCGGUUUAUCAUCAUCUAUAGAAAUGUUAGUAAAUCUUGUGUCACGUGCAAUCCACUAGAAAGGGACGGUACUUUUGUUUGUUUGUUUUUUGCCUCAUCUUUCGUUCUUAGGGAUUAUUUUUCUGAUUGCGACGGUUCGAUUCGUUACAAGUAGAAGUAAAUAAAAAUUAUCUUCGACAUCCGAUUGACACGGAGAGGAUAAUUUUGUUCUCUGAAACGGUACAUGCAACGGUAAGUGCGAUUACGUCUAUGAUAAACCUUUGUUAAAACUAUCCGGACCGACCUGACCUGACCUCACCUGGUAUGAGAUGAUACGACCUGACCUAUGAACAUCCGUAUGAAAGUUAAACCGUUUGACAAAUAAUCGCUGAACCGCGUUUUUAACAAUAAUGUGAUCGAGAUCGAUGUGCAGUUGAGGAUAUAAUUGCACAUAGAUCUGACGGGUG